CAACUACUCCCUCCGUUCCAAAAAUUUUGUCUUAGAUUUGUCUUGAUAGGAAUGUAUCUAGAUACGUUUUAGUAUUUAGAUACAUUCAUUUCUAGACAAACCUAAGACAAGAAUUUUGGGACGGAGGGAGUACUUG
This 136-nucleotide microRNA precursor is filed under the name Hordeum vulgare. Its description in RNAcentral is "microRNA MIR1122". It matches the Rfam family "MIR1120/MIR1122 microRNA precursor family". The record is from RNAcentral. Lineage: Eukaryota; Viridiplantae; Streptophyta; Magnoliopsida; Poales; Poaceae.